Anoplophora glabripennis (Asian longhorned beetle) is the source of this 490-nucleotide long non-coding RNA. RefSeq lists it as uncharacterized. NCBI's taxonomy places the organism in Eukaryota, Metazoa, Arthropoda, Insecta, Coleoptera, Cerambycidae. The transcript is spliced from 2 exons. The record is from RefSeq and is a predicted model, not a curated record.
UUUAGUAGCUGUUUAUCAAAUAGAGGAAGAGUAACUUAAGAUGAUCCCAUCAUCAUCUCGGCGGAGGACAACAUCAUCACGGGUGGCCUCACCACCACGAAGCACAUUGCCACCAACGACAUCAACAAUUCGGCCCGUCAGGUCACCACCACCGCCAUCAUCAUCGACAUCAUCAGCAUCCUGCUCCCCCACCGUUCAAAUCAACAGAACCAACAGAAGUUAACUGUUGUUUUUGUAUAAUAAUAUAAUUAUGAGAUUUGGCGACAGUGGCACAAUUCUCAAUGUUAAUCAGUUUAUUUUGGCCAUGGUGGUCUAUAUCUGCCAGUUAAAUGUUUUAUUUGAUACCUAAAUAUGUAUGCAACUAAAUAAUUUUAUUUGUAUAAUAUAGAAUUUUAUGUUUGUUUUUGUAUGUGAUCUAUGUAAUUUUAUGAAUAAAUUUGGUAUGAACACCAAUUUGCAUAAGAACUAAAAAUAAAGUUUAUAACUCCAA